This 805-nucleotide ribosomal RNA is filed under the name Streptomyces sp. Its description in RNAcentral is "bacterial SSU rRNA". It matches the Rfam family "Bacterial small subunit ribosomal RNA", at positions 63 to 883 of the family's 1533-position model. The record is from RNAcentral. Lineage: Bacteria; Bacillati; Actinomycetota; Actinomycetes; Kitasatosporales; Streptomycetaceae.
CGAACGAUGAACCACUUCGGUGGGGAUUAGUGGCGAACGGGUGAGUAACACGUGGGCAAUCUGCCCUGCACUCUGGGACAAGCCCUGGAAACGGGGUCUAAUACCGGAUACGAGUUCCACGGGCAUCCGUGGGACUGGAAAGCUCCGGCGGUGCAGGAUGAGCCCGCGGCCUAUCAGCUUGUUGGUGAGGUAAUGGCUCACCAAGGCGACGACGGGUAGCCGGCCUGAGAGGGCGACCGGCCACACUGGGACUGAGACACGGCCCAGACUCCUACGGGAGGCAGCAGUGGGGAAUAUUGCACAAUGGGCGCAAGCCUGAUGCAGCGACGCCGCGUGAGGGAUGACGGCCUUCGGGUUGUAAACCUCUUUCAGCAGGGAAGAAGCGAAAGUGACGGUACCUGCAGAAGAAGCGCCGGCUAACUACGUGCCAGCAGCCGCGGUAAUACGUAGGGCGCAAGCGUUGUCCGGAAUUAUUGGGCGUAAAGAGCUCGUAGGCGGCUUGUCGCGUCGGUUGUGAAAGCCCGGGGCUUAACCCCGGGUCUGCAGUCGAUACGGGCAGGCUAGAGUUCGGUAGGGGAGAUCGGAAUUCCUGGUGUAGCGGUGAAAUGCGCAGAUAUCAGGAGGAACACCGGUGGCGAAGGCGGAUCUCUGGGCCGAUACUGACGCUGAGGAGCGAAAGCGUGGGGAGCGAACAGGAUUAGAUACCCUGGUAGUCCACGCCGUAAACGGUGGGCACUAGGUGUGGGCAACAUUCCACGUUGUCCGUGCCGCAGCUAACGCAUUAAGUGCCCCGCCUGGGGAGUAC